GACGAACGCUGGCGGCGUGCUUAACACAUGCAAGUCGAACGGAAAGGCCCUGCAUUUGUGGGGUGCUCGAGUGGCGCACGGGUGAGUAUCACGUGAGUAACCUGCCCUUGACUUUGGGAUAACUUCUGGGAAAUGGGGCUAAUACCCGAUAGGAGAUCCUGAUGCAUGGUGGGGGUUGGAAAGUUUCGGCGGUUGGGGAUGGACUCGCGGCUUAUCAGCUUGUUGGUGGGGUAGUGGCGUACCAAGGCUGCGACGGGUAGCCGACCUGGGAGGGUGACCGGCGACAUUGGGACUGAGGGACGGCGCAGACGGCUACGGGAGGCAGCAGUGGAGAAUAUUGCACAAUGGGGGGAGGUCUGAUGCAGCAACGCCGGGAGCGGGAUAACGGCUUUCGGGUGAUAAACCGCUUUCGCCUGUGACGAAGCGUGAGGGACGGUAAUGUGUAAAGAAGCACCGGCUAACUACGUG
Molecule: ribosomal RNA, 468 nt
Filed under: uncultured bacterium
Lineage: Bacteria
Description: partial 16S ribosomal RNA
Rfam family: Bacterial small subunit ribosomal RNA
Source: RNAcentral